Molecule: ribosomal RNA, 441 nt
Filed under: uncultured bacterium
Lineage: Bacteria
Description: partial 16S ribosomal RNA
Rfam family: Bacterial small subunit ribosomal RNA
Source: RNAcentral
CCUACGGGAGGCAGCAGUGGGGGAUAUUGCACAAUGGGGGAAACCCUGAUGCAGCGACGCCGCGUGGGCGAAGAAGUAUUUCGGUAUGUACAGCCCUAUCAGCAGGGAAGAAGAAAUGACGGUACCUGAGUAAGAAGCACCGGCUAAAUACGGGCCAGCAGCCGCGGUAAUCCGGAGUAUGCGAGCAUUAUCCGGAUUUAUUGGGUUUAAAGGGUGCGUAGGCGGAAUGCCAAGUCAGCGGUAAAAUCGCGGGGCUCAACCUCGCUCCGCUGUUGAAACUGGCGUUCUUGAGUGGGCGAGAAGUAUGCGGAAUGCGUGGUGUAGCGGUGAAAUGCAUAGAUAUCACGCAGAACUCCGAUUGCGAAGGCAGCAUACCGGCGCCCAACUGACGCUGAAGCACGAAAGCGUGGGUAUCGAACAGGAUUAGAUACCCCUGUAGUC